GGGAUUCCUACCUCAGUGAUCCCUGCUGAGCCUGGCUGUUGUCUGUGGUCCAGAAGGUUCCUUUACCUGACUCACUCCUCUCAGAUCAUGUCCAAAUACCAGGAGACUGACCCAGGUCCUCACCAGUCAGGCCAGCUCCUCUGCAGGUCUCAGUCCUGUUUAUUGCCUUGAGGAUCACCAUCAUGGACCAAGCAGUUUCCCAGCAUGGAUCCUGGCCCUUCUUAUACUCAGCCUCCAGACCCUUAUGUGGGGAGCUGGGGCUAAAGUCUAUAAGCUGUGUUCCUGGAGUUCCAGAGUCACUACUAGACUACGAAGGAGCAAAGCAUGGAGUCGUCUUGCUCUUUCGAGGACUUAGGAGGGGAAAAUGGAAACUUGAUUAAGGAGAACUUCUCCUGGGUUCAUCUAUGGUGGCAGCAUGGAGUUUUGUAAUAUACCACUAGCAUGCAGUGCUCAACCACAACUUUUAAAAUUGUUAUGGGCAAAGUGCCAGGAAACUGCUAACUGGUUAAAAUUUAAUUUUGGCUGGUAAAAUUUUCAGCCUUUAUUUUUAUUUUUGAGACAGAGUCUCACUCUGUCGCCC
RNAcentral lists this long non-coding RNA (580 nucleotides) under Homo sapiens (human). RNAcentral's name for it is "non-protein coding lnc-TSC22D1-2:4". Lineage: Eukaryota; Metazoa; Chordata; Mammalia; Primates; Hominidae. The record is from RNAcentral.